RNAcentral lists this ribosomal RNA (517 nucleotides) under uncultured Actinomycetes bacterium. RNAcentral's name for it is "bacterial SSU rRNA". It matches the Rfam family "Bacterial small subunit ribosomal RNA", at positions 355 to 863 of the family's 1533-position model. Lineage: Bacteria; Bacillati; Actinomycetota; Actinomycetes. The record is from RNAcentral.
UGGGGAAUCUUGCGCAAUGGGCGAAAGCCUGACGCAGCGACGCCGCGUGGGGGGAAGAAGGCCUUCGGGUUGUAAACCUCUUUCAGCAGGGACGAAGCCACUAGGGUGAACAGCCCAGAGGGUGACGGUACCUGCAGAAGAAGCCCCGGCUAACUACGUGCCAGCAGCCGCGGUAAUACGUAGGGGGCAAGCGUUGUCCGGAUUUAUUGGGCGUAAAGAGCGUGUAGGCGGCCAGACAGGUCCGUUGUGAAAACUAGAGGCUCAACCUCUAGACGUCGAUGGAAACCGUUUGGCUAGAGUCCGGAAGAGGAGAAUGGAAUUCCUGGUGUAGCGGUGAAAUGCGCAGAUAUCAGGAAGAACACCCGUGGCUAAGGCGGUUCUCUAGUACGGUACUGACGCUGAGACGCGAAAGCGUGGGGAGCGAACAGGAUUAGAUACCCUGGUAGUCCACGCCGUAAACGAUGGGUGCUAGGUGUGGGGGGUGUCGACUCCCUCCGUGCCGAAGCUAACGCAUUAA